RNAcentral lists this unclassified non-coding RNA (210 nucleotides) under Hevea brasiliensis (rubber tree). Lineage: Eukaryota; Viridiplantae; Streptophyta; Magnoliopsida; Malpighiales; Euphorbiaceae. The record is from RNAcentral.
ACGGUUAUGCCAUCUUUGGAAGGACGGCUUGGUGACUCCAUAAACAUGUUUGAUCGACGACUGGUGUGGUGAAAAAGCAGGUAGAGGAUAAAGUCCUUUAUAACCGUGACAACUAAGCGGAAUUCUCCACAUGGUAUGAUCCUUGAUAAAGAAAAGUUAGAGUAUAAUUCAAGGAAGGCAAAAUUAUCAUAAGCAUACCUAUGGGCUGAA